UGAUUGGUUCGAAACAAAACACUCCGUGAGACUAACAUACUAUAAAGUAGAAACUAUAACCAAAAACCAGAUAUGAAGGAGAACUGAAGAAGAAGAAAGAACCUGAAUGGUGGGAGGAAUCAUGACCGGGAAAACCCGGGUAAAAUCAUUGCUUUUGCCAUACCCUUGUACUACAUGAUCAUAAUUCUGUUUCUGUUGCUGCUGUUCUUCUUCUUUUACUUCUACUUCUACUUCCUCUUCUGUGAUGAACAGGGAGAUUCUCUUGCUUAGGUCCGCAAAAAACACAUCAUCUUCCAUAUCCACCAUGCUGUGCUGAACUGAGCUGGGAUAGCUGCGAAACUGACUAGAUCU
Molecule: long non-coding RNA, 351 nt
Filed under: Zostera marina
Lineage: Eukaryota; Viridiplantae; Streptophyta; Magnoliopsida; Alismatales; Zosteraceae
Description: long non-coding RNA (ZMAR_LNC000780)
Source: RNAcentral